UGGGGAAUAUUGGACAAUGGGGGCAACCCUGAUCCAGCCAUGCCGCGUGUGUGAAGAAGGCCUUUUGGUUGUAAAGCACUUUAAGCAGUGAAGAAGACUCCAUGGUUAAUACCCAUGGACGAUGACAUUAGCUGCAGAAUAAGCACCGGCUAACUCUGUGCCAGCAGCCGCGGUAAUACAGAGGGUGCAAGCGUUAAUCGGAAUUACUGGGCGUAAAGCGAGCGUAGGUGGCUUGAUAAUUCAGAUGUGAAAGCCCGGGCUUAACCUGGGAACGGCAUCUGAUACUGUUAGGCUAGAGUAGGUGAGAGGAAGGUAGAAUUCCAGGUGUAGCGGUGAAAUGCGUAGAGAUCUGGAGGAAUACCGAUGGCGAAGGCAGCCUUCUGGCAUCAUACUGACACUGAGGUUCGAAAGCGUGGGUAGCAAACA
Molecule: ribosomal RNA, 426 nt
Filed under: uncultured bacterium
Lineage: Bacteria
Description: partial 16S ribosomal RNA
Rfam family: Bacterial small subunit ribosomal RNA
Source: RNAcentral